Molecule: ribosomal RNA, 497 nt
Filed under: uncultured bacterium
Lineage: Bacteria
Description: partial 16S ribosomal RNA
Rfam family: Bacterial small subunit ribosomal RNA
Source: RNAcentral
GAUGAACGCUGGCGGCUUGCCUAAUACAUGCAAGUCGAGCUAACUGACGAGAAGCUUUCUCCUCUGAUGUUAACGGCGGACGGGUGAGUAACACGUGGAUAACCUACCUAUAAGACUGGGAUCACUUCGGGAAACCGGAGCUAAUACCGGAUAAUAUUUUGAACCGCAUUGUUCAAUAGUGAAAGACGGUCUUGCUGUCACUUAUAGAUUGAUCCGCGCUGCAUUAGCUAGUUGGUAAGGUAACGGCUUACCAAGGCACCGAUGCAUAGCCGACCUGAGAGGGUGAUCGGGCACACUGGAAAUGAGACAAGGUCCAGAAUCCUAAGGGAAGCAGCAGUAGGGAAUCUUCCGCAAAGGGCGAAAGCCUGACGGAGCAAAGCCGCGUGAGUGAUGAAGGUCUUCGGAUCGUAAAACUCUGUUAUUAGGGAAGAACAGAUGUGUAAGUAACUGUGGAAAGCUUGACGGUACCUAAUCAGAAAGCCACGGCUAACUAAGUG